UGCGGCUGUGGUGUAAUUGGUAGCCACGCCAGACUUAGGAUCUGGUGCUUCACGGCGUGCGAGUUCGAGUCUCGCCAGCCGCACCCA
Molecule: transfer RNA, 87 nt
Filed under: Porphyromonas gingivalis
Lineage: Bacteria; Pseudomonadati; Bacteroidota; Bacteroidia; Bacteroidales; Porphyromonadaceae
Also listed under: 1 other name
Description: tRNA-Leu
Rfam family: tRNA
About the family: Transfer RNA (tRNA) molecules are approximately 80 nucleotides in length.
Source: RNAcentral